AGAUGGAAUAGGGCAAUGUGCAGUGAGAUGGCGGUUGCAUCGUCGGUGGACCUUUUGGGGCAGUAUGCAAACUGAAGUGGGUCAAGGGUUGCAGGUGACCCACAAGACUGUGCUGAGUCUAGAUGAGAAAUGGACUGAGGCGGCUGCUGUCACUAUGAUAGAGAUCAUGCCCAUGUCCCUCUCAGACACCAUCAUACUCAACAGGCCCUUCCUGCUCUUCAUCCUGGAGGACUACCAAGAGCAUCAUCUUCAUGGACAAGAUCACCAACCCCACAGCCGAGUGAAAGACGGAGAGGAAGAAAUAAUGAGAGGGAGGAACAUCUGAGGAGAUUGAAGGAAGGUCUUUGUCUCUCAUGCUAGUGGUAAAACAUAAAGGAUCGGUAUCUGAUUUUUCGGUUUUCUGUAGAGCAUUCAUGUGUUGGAUGCUUUGUCUAGUUCGUUUUGUUUUGUGAAACCCUACCAGCGGUUUCCCCCUUGCUCCUGUCUGGUCUAGUUCCUGUUUUCUAGUUUCCCCCAGUUUUGACCAUUCUGCCUACCCUGACCCUGAGCCUGUCUGCUGUUCUGUAUCUUGCCACAUCAUAUUGGAUUAUUGACAUCUGCCUGCUCUGACCCCGAGACUGCCUGCCAUUCUGGACCUUUUGCACCCUAUCUGGAUUAUUGACCCCUGCCUGCUCUGACCCCGAGACUGCCUGCCAUUCUGGACCUUUUGCACCCUAUCUGGAUUAUUGACCCCUGCC
RNAcentral lists this long non-coding RNA (737 nucleotides) under Salmo salar (Atlantic salmon). RNAcentral describes it as "lncRNA (ENSSSAG00000102300.1, ENSSSAG00000119234.1)". The record is from RNAcentral. Lineage: Eukaryota; Metazoa; Chordata; Actinopteri; Salmoniformes; Salmonidae.